UAGGCUGAAACUCGCCUACAUGAAGCUGGAAUUGCUAGUAAUCACAGGUCAGCAUACUGUGGUGAAUACGUUCCCGGGCCUUGUACACACCGCCCGUCACACCAUGAGAGUUGAGAAUACCCGAAGCCCAUGUCAAAGUGGUCGAAGGUAGGCUUGAUGAUUGGGGUGAAGUCGUAACAAGGUAUC
RNAcentral lists this ribosomal RNA (186 nucleotides) under uncultured bacterium. RNAcentral's name for it is "partial 16S ribosomal RNA". It matches the Rfam family "Bacterial small subunit ribosomal RNA", at positions 1301 to 1500 of the family's 1533-position model. The record is from RNAcentral.